GGCUUGAAACACCGAAUCUUAGUCCCAAAGAUAUUUCGUUACUUGUUCGCGUACCACAGAGCGCGAUGGAUAGUCGUUUGGAGUCACGAGCGACACAAGUGGGAGUUGGUCGCCUAUUCGACUACAAGUCACAUCAGGUGUGCCCCAAGAUUCUCUCAAUUUAUCUGAAUAUAUAGACAUAUUGUACGAAAAUUGUUUCAAUAUGUUAUUGAAGUAUUGUUAUGGUUAUUAAUAAAUACUUUUAAAUUU
Long non-coding RNA from Vanessa tameamea, 249 nucleotides. RefSeq lists it as uncharacterized. The record is from RefSeq and is a predicted model, not a curated record. Lineage: Eukaryota; Metazoa; Arthropoda; Insecta; Lepidoptera; Nymphalidae. The transcript is spliced from 2 exons.